AGUGCUGGGGCGACCCCUCCCCACUGUAUAGUGCUGCGGUGGAACUCUAGCCAACCACUCCCCGCUCUAUAGUGCUGGGGGCGACGCUCUAGCCCGCCCCACCCAGCUGCACCGCAGCGCCGAGGACAGGGUCGGAGCGCCGCAGGCUCCUUCCUUCCGGUCAGUGGCGGAAGUGUCUGGCGGGAGGGGCUGGUUGCCGUGGCAACGCUGGGCUGUUUACGAGCGGGCCGGGGCUGGCGCGCAGCCCCGGUUCGGUCGAUGAAUGUGGAGGGCUGUCCUGCUUGCUGGCAGGGACGGGCUGCACGCUUGAGUGGAGGUGCCGGAGUAUGAAGCGAAAGGCCCCUGCGGCGAUGCGUAGAAAGCCAAUGAGCUUUUGAUCUCUCGAGUCAUCGCUCGCAAAAGGCUUCAGUGUAUCGAGACGUCUGCAGUGACUCAAAGGAUUUAAAAGAAGAGACUUUUAAAAGUGCAGCUGAUUUCACGUAAAAGUCCCAAACUGGGAACUUAGGUUGCAGGGCAGAAACAGCAAUGAAUCGCUGCUAUGUUCGAUUAGUUUCUAACGCUGGAAUAAAGUGUG
This 574-nucleotide long non-coding RNA is filed under the name Crocodylus porosus (Australian saltwater crocodile). Its description in RNAcentral is "lncRNA (ENSCPRG00005018522.1)". Lineage: Eukaryota; Metazoa; Chordata; Crocodylia; Crocodylidae. The record is from RNAcentral.